This 459-nucleotide ribosomal RNA is filed under the name uncultured bacterium. RNAcentral's name for it is "partial 16S ribosomal RNA". It matches the Rfam family "Bacterial small subunit ribosomal RNA", at positions 338 to 795 of the family's 1533-position model. The record is from RNAcentral.
CCUACGGGAGGCAGCAGUGAGGAAUAUUGGUCAAUGGCCGGAAGGCUGAACCAGCCAAGCCGCGUGAAGGACGAAGGUGCCAAGCAUUGUAAACUUCUUUUGUCAAGGGACAAAAUCAGGCUCGAGAGCCUGACCGAGGGUACUUGAAGAAAAAGCAUCGGCUAACUCCGUGCCAGCAGCCGCGGUAAUACGGAGGAUGCGAGCGUUAUCCGGAUUUAUGGGGUUUAAAGGGUGCGUAGGCGGACUGUUAAGUCAGCGGUAAAAGCCCGGGGCUCAACCCCGGCGAGCCGUCGAAACUGGGUGUCUUGAGAUGUCGAGAGGUAUGCGGAAUGCGCAGUGUAGCGGUGAAAUGCUUAGAUAUUGCGCAGAACUCCGAUUGCGAAGGCAGCAUACCGGCGGCGAUCUGACGCUGAGGCACGAAAGCGUGGGUAUCGAACAGGAUUAGAUACCCGGGUAGUC